AUCCUUGAUAGGUCAUCUCAUCUGGAAGGAGAGAUGGCUUAAAGGGGUACGCGGGCUUCUUCCGCGAAUUCGCUCCAGGAUGGGACUGCGUCCGAUCACGCUGUUGGCGGGGUAAUGGCCCACCAAACCUGUAACCGGUACGGGCCUUGAGAGAGGUGGCCCGGAGAUGGACACUGAGAGAAGGGUCCAGGUCCUACGGGGCGCAGCAGGCGCGAAACCUUCGCAAUGCGCGAAAGCGUGACGAGGUUAAUCCGAGUGACUUCCGCUGAGGAGGUCUUUUGUCAGCUGUAAAUAGGCAGGCGAAUAAGGGGAGGGCAAGCCUGGUGUCAGCCGCCGCGGUAAUACCAGCUCCUCGAGUGGUCGGGGCGAUUAUUGGGNCCUAAAGCAUCCGUAGCCGGUUCCGUAGGUCCUCUGUUAAAUCCAACCGCUUAACGGUUGACCUGCAGAGGAUACCGCGGGACUAGGAGGCGGGAGAGCGGGACCGUACUCCGCGUGUAGGGGUAAUCCUUUGAUCCGCGGAAGAACCACCAGUGGCCGAAAGCGGUCCCGCCAGAACGCGCUUCGACGGUUGAGGGAUUAAAGCCCGGG
This 588-nucleotide ribosomal RNA is filed under the name uncultured archaeon. RNAcentral describes it as "bacterial SSU rRNA". It matches the Rfam family "Archaeal small subunit ribosomal RNA", at positions 149 to 716 of the family's 1478-position model. The record is from RNAcentral.